RNAcentral lists this ribosomal RNA (468 nucleotides) under uncultured bacterium. RNAcentral describes it as "partial 16S ribosomal RNA". It matches the Rfam family "Bacterial small subunit ribosomal RNA", at positions 28 to 507 of the family's 1533-position model. The record is from RNAcentral.
GACGAACGCUGGCGGCGUGCUUAACACAUGCAAGUCGAACGGAAAGGCCCUGCUUUUGUGGGGUGCUCGAGUGGCGAACGGGUGAGUAACACGUGAGUAACCUGCCCUUGACUUUGGGAUAACUUCAGGAAACUGGGGCUAAUACCGGAUAGGAGCUCCUGCUGCAUGGUGGGGGUUGGAAAGUUUCGGCGGUUGGGGAUGGACUCGCGGCUUAUCAGCUUGUUGGUGGGGUAGUGGCUUACCAAGGCUUUGACGGGUAGCCGGCCUGAGAGGGUGACCGGCCACAUUGGGACUGAGAUACGGCCCAGACUCCUACGGGAGGCAGCAGGGGGGAAUAUUGCACAAUGGGCGGAAGCCUGAUGCAGCAACGCCGCGUGCGGGAUGACGGCCUGCGGGGUGUAAACCGCUUUCGCCUGUGACGAAGCGUGAGUGACGGUAAUGGGUAAAGAAGCACCGGCUAACUACGUG